CUCUCUCUUCUCUUCUAAUGUUUUGUGUUGGAAAUAGCGAAGAACAAGUUCUCAUGUAUUUGUUUGUAGAUCACAACUUCAACGAUAACCAAAGAUCCAACAACACCAUUUCUGAUUUACUUUAAUAAAGGUUAGUUUUAUUUCAAUUGGGGUUUCUUUGAUCUUUAAUUUAGUAUUUAUUUUGCUUACAUUGAAUCAAAUUUAGCUGAAUUUAAACAAAAUUUAUGGAAUUUUCCAUAUUGAUUUGGUUGCUUUGAACAAGUGAGUGUGUGUAGUGGUUUGUGAUCUCUGUAUUCAACUUUGUUUUAACACUGGGUUGAUGAAUUGUAUAUAAUUAGACAUUGGCUUGCUACCAAACAUACAAAACACACAAAAGAUUGAGAUCAAUUGCUGUAAUUUAGUUAAUUUCAGGAUUUGAUCUGCUCAAAGCGGUUAGAUUGUUGUACAUUUUCCAUUUGGGUCACCAUUCGUGAGGUCAAUGCCGUUUUCUCAAUACUCACGAGCAUAUGCCAUGUCAAUACAGAGUAAUUUUGAAGAGAAAUGAUUAGAUAAUUGGCAGUUCACUACAUGGCAAAGAACCUUUGAGUCCGUGGAGAAGUUUGGUAUACUUCGACUUCCAAGUGUUUGGUUUAGUGGUGAGGGAAGAGGUUUUCAUGGUUAAUUUACUUGAACUUGAGAUGGCCUAAAACUAAGAGUUGUGGGUCUGGGAUAAUGGUUCAAUUUUAUUUUCCCACUAGGUAUAACUAUAUAUUGUUACUUCAACUAAGUAAUGUGCUAUUGUGUAGAUAAGGACUUAGGAGUUACGUAACUGUUUCACAUUAGUGCGCUUCAAGGAUUUUGGGUGAGUGAGUGGACGGAUAUAGCCACAUCUGGGGAUAUUUUUUCUUUUUAUGGCCAUGGUUCAUACUCUAGAUGUAUCGGGGAAAAAGGUAUAAGUAAAGCUUUAAUGUUCAGCAAUCUAUAUACUGUUUAUGGUGCGCACACAGCCACACACUACAAUGUCAAAGAUCGUCAGAAUGAUUGGUUGGAACCUUCGCAUGUACAUUGGUACAAAUAUGUCUCUUUCAUUUUUUUAGAUGGGUAGUAGCUUAGAAAUUUAACAAGGUGGCUCUAAUGGGUGAGCAUAUGAUGUUCAAUGUUGCAUUUUAUGGUAUGGGACAUGUUUAUCACUUAAUGCUGAGUACCUUUGUUUGUUAUGUUCACUCCUCAAAACUGAAGUCGUGCCUCCUCAUUUUGAUGGUGUUAUGUCAUGAACCAGGAACGAGUUAUGAGGCUUCAAGUGAGGUUAUGUAGAACAUUCUGGAAUCAUAUGAACUCCCCCUUAACCCUUUUGAUGACACGACAUGUUAUUAACUGAUGACAUUGAUACAAAACAGGGCGGGUGAGUAAUAAACACGCGAUGACACAAGCAGAAAAUAACAACAAAAUGUCCCAAAGUGGUCAUAUUUUUUAUCUAGGUUUAACAAAUUUGAAUGGGUCAUUGUAUGAACUGUGAACACAACCUUCUUCUCUAGAUUUAUUUAUCUAUAUCGAAAAACUCUUUGAUAUUUUGUAUGCAAAUUACUAUUACUAGAUAAGCAGCAUUUCUGACUUGUGAGAAGGGAACUUUUGUUGGGUAUUCACUGCAAAUGAAUGUCUUAAUUUGGAAAUACUAUGAAGUUUGUUAUUUUGGUUGGCUUGGAGAAGAAUAUAUGAUAAAAUUAAGAAAGGUAGUUCCUUCUCAAAAAAGAAAAGCAAAAAACAUCAAAAAAUAAAAAUUUGGACAGAUGAACUUGCAACUGACACAUUUGAGAAGUUGGGUAUUAAAUGAAAGAGCUAAUAUUUUUAUUUUUAUGCUUGGUAAUAUUAAAAGCAUAUAAUUUUCUUGAAAACACUGCUUAAAGUGUCAUUAUCUUGAUGAAGCCAAAUAAUCAUGUGAUGCAUGUAAUGAUUAGAUAGAAUUUUUGAUUGUAGAAACAUGACAUGUAUAUUUAAUGUUUAUAUAUUUUAUGUGUUAUAUUUGACAUGUAUAUUUAAUGUUUGCUGAAGAUCUCUCGACAACACAUAAAUCAAAACGCACCACUAUUCUAAGUCAAAUGGGCAGGUAUGUCUUAAUUUGGAAAUACUAUGAAGUUUGUUAUUUUGGUUGGCUUGGAGAAGAAUAUAUGAUAAAAUUAAGAAAGGUAGUUCCUUCUCAAAAAAGAAAAGCAAAAAACAUCAAAAAAUGAAAAUUUGGACAGAUGAACUUGCGACUGGCACAUUUGAGAAGUUGGGUAUUAAAUGAAAGAGCUAAUAUUUUUAUUUUUAUGCUUGGUAAUAUUAAAAGCAUAUAAUUUUCUUGAAAACACUGCUUAAAGUGUCAUUAUCUUGAUGAAGCCAAAUAAUCAUGUGAUGCAUGUAAUGAUUAGAUAGAAUUUUUGAUUGCAGAAACAUGCAAAACAACCUUGAAGCACCCAUGGGAUGCCUAAAAAAUGAGGCAUCCCUAGGAUGCCAACAGAGUAAGGCAUAUCCUUACAAACUAAAAUCGGGCAUAACAUCCGUAUUUCUUUUAGGUCCCAUCAUUUUGGACUAAUCAUACCAUGAUUUGAGUUUAAUCGGAAAAAUUGUAUAUUUUACUUCUCAAGACCAACAAUCAAAUUGAACUUUAAUGAAGCCUUACGUAGCUAGCCUUAUAAACACUUAUUUUUGAUUUGUGUAUUUGUCUGACCCAAAAUCAAACAGAUUCAUUUAACCAUGAACAUCACAUGUCAAUUGUUUCGAACUUUCGAUUCUUGGAAUGGGAUAUAAGUCAGUUUGAUGAUAACAUGCUAAAACUACUUACAUGUUUUUCUUUUAGUUUCGAAUGAAUUUUGGUCUAUAAUAAUUUCAAAUUUCAAUUCACAAAACGUUUUAAAUACUAAAU
RNAcentral lists this long non-coding RNA (2881 nucleotides) under Aquilegia coerulea. Its description in RNAcentral is "long non-coding RNA (ACOE_LNC001349)". The record is from RNAcentral. Lineage: Eukaryota; Viridiplantae; Streptophyta; Magnoliopsida; Ranunculales; Ranunculaceae.